AUACAGAGGGUGCAAGCGUUAAUCGGAAUUACGGGGCGUAAAGCGCGCGUAGGCGGUUUUGUAAGUCGGAUGUGAAAGCCCUGAGCUCAACUCAGGAACUGCAUUCGAUACUGCAUGACUAGAGUAUGGUAGAGGGAAGUGGAAUUCCAGGUGUAGCGGUGAAAUGCGUAGAUAUCUGGAGGAACAUCAGUGGCGAAGGCGACUUCCUGGACCAAUACUGACGCUGAGGUGCGAAAGCGUGGGGAGCAAACAGGAUUAGAAACCCUAGUAGUCC
This 274-nucleotide ribosomal RNA is filed under the name uncultured bacterium. Its description in RNAcentral is "partial 16S ribosomal RNA". It matches the Rfam family "Bacterial small subunit ribosomal RNA", at positions 523 to 796 of the family's 1533-position model. The record is from RNAcentral.